UUUUUUUUUUUUUUUUUUUUUGGUCUCUGUUGGCUGCUCUUGAACGUGAGUAAAUGCUGUGCAGGGAGAGAGGAGGGAGAGCCACCACAGCCACACUGCCAUCUCAGGAGCCACAGCCAGGAGAUGGACUGACAGAUUGCAAAUUAAAAUAGUCCUAAUGUAAGAAUGAAUGCAGCCCCCCCAAAUCUCUCCCAGCACCAGCCCGUUAGUAAUAAGCCCGGCAGGGAGGGAGCGUUGCUGCGGCUGGGCUGGUCCUGCACCCGGAGAAAGGCUAGGCAGGGACAAUAAAGCCAGUCCCGGGCAGAGAAAAUCACAAGGUGGAGCUGAAUACAAUGCCCACAUUUGUGGUUAGCUACAAGCAAAACAUUAUGAAGAUGAUGGUAUUCAGACACAUACUCAAACAACUGGAUUCAGACAAACAGGAUGCAAGACUGACCAACAAGAGAAGAACAGGCAUUAUGCAGACCAGCAGCAUUACAGACCUGCUGGAAGAGCUUAGCAGAAGAGCCAACGCUGCACUGAUGAUGUUUGAACAGAGGCCUGUGGUGGUCCAGCUUGUUGGAAACUUUUGUGUUCAAACCAGAAGGAUGCUGUAGAUGGAGCUAAUCUGAUUCUUGAAUCCCACUGAGGAUGCACAGAGCUGAUCUCUGAGUCUGUGAUAUCUGCUGCCACUGUAAGUGUGAAAAAGCGGUGCCUCUACCUGCUCUUUCUGAGUGCCCUGUAAUGAAAACCCUUUUGGAGCAACAUUGGAAAUAAGCCAUCACAAUAUCUGAUUAAACCUCUUAGGAAACUGUCACUAAUCACCUUCUCUGCUCUUGAUGGAAUAUAUUUAUGCAUUAUAAAUAUACUUACUGUGUGUGUGUGCUCCAUAAAUCACAUUCAGCACUUGUAUAUGAUGUAUAAGCAUAUUCUAUAGAAUACACACAAAUACAGAUGCCAAACUCCCACAGAGUUCAUCACUGGGAAAUGUUUGAAGGAUCUGAUCCUUAAUAUUUAAUGAGAAAGAUGCUAUUUCCUUCCUCAGCUUUUAUCUCUGGUUUGGCAUAGUCAUUAAAUUUGUUGUUUCCUUGCAAGAUUAUAUAAUUUAUGACCUAAUUUUAGACUUUUGUGUAACUGUGCUAAAAUACUCGUGGCAUAUCCGGAUUUUUUCAUACGGAGUAUUUCAGCAUUAGACACCAGCUAGAACAUGACUGCUCAGCUAUGAGCUUCCCAUCAGUAAGGAAUUACAAGCAUUAAAGGAAAACAGCCCAACAAUAUUCAGAUAGCAUUUCAGGAUUAGACAGUGGUGUUUUUUCCUCUGUAAAACUAUGAUUUAGCAACAUUUCCAAAGCCCGUCGUAUGCAGCAGUUGGCAGGAAUCCCCAGGUAAUACAGUAAUCACCCAGAAAUUCCUAUUACUUAAAAUAUUUUCAUGUAGCAUCUUCUGACUUUCAGACCGCUCUGGGAUGAAUUCAUACAGCCUUCAUCACAGGUACUGAUGUACAGAGCUGGGAAAAGGAGGUGAAGAAUGACACUCGGUGCUUUAAAGUGACUAUCAGCCCCCUCGCCCUCUGGAAGAAAGCAUUUGCUCUGCAGCACCAGGCUGGCUGGGGAGAUUUUUGCUGCACAAG
Calidris pygmaea (Spoon-billed sandpiper) is the source of this 1609-nucleotide long non-coding RNA. NCBI's taxonomy places the organism in Eukaryota, Metazoa, Chordata, Aves, Charadriiformes, Scolopacidae. The record is from Ensembl.